CGAUUGCAGAACUGUAUGGUAUCUUAGCUGAUAUCAUUAGCUUGUCUUCGGCUUUUGAACAUUUUUCUAUCUCUUGGAUUCGACGUACAAAUAACAAGGAAGCUGAUGCUAUGGCAAAGCAAGCCUUGUUAAAUGCGUCUGUUGUACCAGCCCCCUACAGGGCCUAAACUCUGUCGAAUUAAUGCAAGUUUAGUGUUACAAAAAAAAAAAUCAGUUUACCAUAAUAUAUGCUUCUGUAAAGCAUAUGUUUCUUUCAAAAACUCACGAUGCUCAUGAAAUAUUUUACUUCUUCCAGAUGAUGUGGCGUCUUAACUUAUUUGUGGCAUUUAGCUGCAUCAUUUUCAAUAACGAUUAUAUGAUAUACUACAUCUGUCCGAUGCACACUCUGCUUACUCUAAUGGUGUAUGGAGCCCUUGGUAUCUUCAGUCGGUAUAACGAAAUUCCAUCAGUAAUGGCUGUGAAAAUUGCUUCAUGCUUUCUUGUGGUCAUCCUCAUGUGGGAGAUUCCUGGAGUUUUUGAGAUUUUCUAGAGUCCUCUAACAUUCUUACUUGGAUACACUGAUCCAGCUAAACCAGACCUACCACUGCUACAUGAAUGGCACUUCAGAUCCGGACUUGACCGCUACAUAUGAUCAUUGGAAUGAUAUAUGCCUAUUUCCAUCCCACUGUAGAGAGAUGGAUGGAGAAAUUGGAGGAAUGUGAUGCCAAAAGAAAGAUAAUGUUUUGAUGGCUAAUAUAGGAUUUGAGAGAGAACAGAAUACUUUAUUGAAUGAUCAACGUACAAUAUAUAUAGGUACAUGACAGAGGAAUAUACUUAGCAUAUACUAAGGAUAUAUACAAAAGAGAUAAUCCUAGAUUUGAGGUUAUCGUAUAAGUCAAGUAUAUCCAAUACGCUCCCUCAAGAC
Molecule: long non-coding RNA, 904 nt
Organism: Brassica napus (rape)
Lineage: Eukaryota; Viridiplantae; Streptophyta; Magnoliopsida; Brassicales; Brassicaceae
Exons: 3
Source: RefSeq, a predicted model, not a curated record